CCUACGAGAGGCAGCAGUGGGGGAUCUUGCACAAUGGGGGAAACCCUGAUGCAGCGACGCCGCGUGAGUGAAGAAGGAUUUUGGUAUGUAAAGCUCUAUCAGCCGGGAAGAAAAUGACAGUACCUGACCCAGAAGCCCUGGAUAAAUACGUGCCAGGAGCCGCGGUAAGACGUAGGGGGCAAGCGUUAGCCUGAUUUACUGGGGGGAAAGGGAGCGUAGACGGGUAUGUAAGUCUGGAGUGAAAGCCCGGGGCACAACCCCGGGACUGCGUUUGAAACUGUGUAACUGGAGUACAGGAGGGGCAGGCGGAAUUCCUGGUGUAGCGGUGAAAUGCGUAGAUAUCAGGAGGAACACCGGCGGCGAAGGCGGCCUGCUGGACUGAAACUGACGUUGAGGCUCGAAAGCGUGGGGAGCAAACAGGAUUAGAUACCCCUGUAGUC
Molecule: ribosomal RNA, 440 nt
Filed under: uncultured bacterium
Lineage: Bacteria
Description: partial 16S ribosomal RNA
Rfam family: Bacterial small subunit ribosomal RNA
Source: RNAcentral